UACGUAGGCAGGGAGCGUUGUUCGGAAUUACUGGGCGUAAAGAGUGUGUAGGCGGUGUUCCCAGUCUGUUGUGAAAUCUCCCGGCUUAACUGGGAGGGUGCAGCGGAAACUAGAAUGCUAGAGGGUGGGAGAGGUAAGCGGAAUUCCUGGUGUAGCGGUGAAAUGCGUAGAUAUCAGGAGGAACACCUGUGGUGUAGACAGCUUACUGGACCACUUCUGACGCUGAGACACGAAAGCGUGGGUAGCAAACAGG
This 253-nucleotide ribosomal RNA is filed under the name uncultured bacterium. RNAcentral describes it as "partial 16S ribosomal RNA". It matches the Rfam family "Bacterial small subunit ribosomal RNA", at positions 524 to 776 of the family's 1533-position model. The record is from RNAcentral.